CAGCAGUAGCCGCGGGAAUACCGAGGGUGCGAGCGUUAAUCGGAUUUACUGGGCGUAAAGCGUGCGUAGGCGGCUUCUUAAGUCGGAUGUGAAAUCCCUGAGCUUAACUUAGGAAUUGCAUUCGAUACUGGGAAGCUAGAGUAUGGGAGAGGAUGGUAGAAUUCCAGGUGUAGCGGUGAAAUGCGUAGAGAUCUGGAGGAACAUCAGUGGCGAAGGCGGCCAUCUGGGACAACACUGACGCUGAGGCACGAAAGCGUGGGGAGCAAACAGGAUUAGAUACCCCCGUAGUCCCUGUCUCUUAUAC
This 304-nucleotide ribosomal RNA is filed under the name uncultured bacterium. RNAcentral's name for it is "partial 16S ribosomal RNA". It matches the Rfam family "Bacterial small subunit ribosomal RNA", at positions 506 to 807 of the family's 1533-position model. The record is from RNAcentral.